This 45-nucleotide non-coding RNA is filed under the name Schistosoma mansoni. The record is from RNAcentral. Lineage: Eukaryota; Metazoa; Platyhelminthes; Trematoda; Strigeidida; Schistosomatidae.
AUCAAGAUGACGAGUCCCAAAUAGGACAAAAUACAUGUCUUGGAU